CCUACGGGUGGCUGCAGUGGGGAAUAUUGGACAAGGGGGGCAACCCUGAUCCAGCCAUGCCGCGUGUGUGAAGAAGGCCCUCGGUUUGUAAAGCACUUUCAGUGAGGAAGAACGCCUGGUGGUGAAUACCCAUCAGGAAAGACAUCACUCACAGAAGAAGCACCGGCUAACUCCGUGCCAGCAGCCGCGGUAAUACGGAGGGUGCGAGCGUUAAUCGGAAUUACUGGGCGUAAAGCGCGCGUAGGUGGCUUGAUAAGCCGGUUGUGAAAGCCCCGGGCUCAACCUGGGAACGGCAUCCGGAACUGUCAAGCUAGAGUGCAGGAGAGGAAGGUAGAAUUCCCGGUGUAGCGGUGAAAUGCGUAGAGAUCGGGAGGAAUACCAGUGGCGAAGGCGGCCUUCUGGACUGACACUGACACUGAGGUGCGAAAGCGUGGGUAGCAAACAGGAUUAGAUACCCCGGUAGUC
This 465-nucleotide ribosomal RNA is filed under the name Vreelandella stevensii. Its description in RNAcentral is "partial 16S ribosomal RNA". It matches the Rfam family "Bacterial small subunit ribosomal RNA", at positions 338 to 795 of the family's 1533-position model. The record is from RNAcentral. Lineage: Bacteria; Pseudomonadati; Pseudomonadota; Gammaproteobacteria; Oceanospirillales; Halomonadaceae.